GCGCGAAACCUCUGCAAUAAGCGAAAGCUUGACAGGGUUACUCUGAGUGAUUUCCGCUAAGGAAGUCUUUUGGCACCUCUAAAAAUGGUGCAGAAUAAGGGGUGGGCAAGUCUGGUGUCAGCCGCCGCGGUAAUACCAGCACCCCGAGUGGUCGGGACGAUUAUUGGGCCUAAAGCAUCCGUAGCCGGUCCUGCAAGUCCUCCGUUAAAUCCACCCGCUCAACGGUUGGGCCGCGGGGGAUACUACAGGGCUAGGAGGCGGGAGAGGCAAGCGGUACUCGAUGGGUAGGGGUAAAAUCCACUGAUCCAUUGAAGACCACCAGUGGCGAAGGCGGCUUGCCAGAACGCGCUCGACGGUGAGGGAUGAAAGCUGGGGGAGCAAACCGGAUUAGAUACCCGGGUAGUCCCAGCUGUAAACGAUGCAGACUCGGUGAUGGGCUGGCUUCGUGCCAACCCGGUGCCGCAGGGAAGCCGUUAAGUCUGCCGCCUGGGGAGUACGGUCGCAAGACUGAAACUUAAAGGAAUUGGCGGGGGAGCAACCG
This 541-nucleotide ribosomal RNA is filed under the name uncultured archaeon. RNAcentral's name for it is "bacterial SSU rRNA". It matches the Rfam family "Archaeal small subunit ribosomal RNA", at positions 339 to 882 of the family's 1478-position model. The record is from RNAcentral.